ACAGGGCAGGAACCUGGAGGCAGG
RNAcentral lists this non-coding RNA (24 nucleotides) under Cricetulus griseus (Chinese hamster). Lineage: Eukaryota; Metazoa; Chordata; Mammalia; Rodentia; Cricetidae. The record is from RNAcentral.